This 338-nucleotide ribosomal RNA is filed under the name uncultured eukaryote. Its description in RNAcentral is "SSU rRNA". It matches the Rfam family "Eukaryotic small subunit ribosomal RNA", at positions 1463 to 1797 of the family's 1831-position model. The record is from RNAcentral.
UGUGAUGCCCUUAGAUGUUCUGGGCCGCACGCGCGCUACAAUGAUACACACAACGAGUUGUUUUUCACCUUGUCCGAAAGGUCCUGGGUAAUCUUGUAAAUGUGUAUCGUGUUAGGGAUAGAUUUUUGCAAUUCUGAAUCUUGAACGAGGAAUUCCUAGUAAAUGCAAGUCAUCAGCUUGUGUUGAUUACGUCCCUGCCCUUUGUACACACCGCCCGUCGCACCUACCGAUUGAAUGAUUCGGUGAAAAUUUCGGACUGUGAUAUUUAUACUUUCGGGUAUUUUUAUCGUAGAAAGUUAUUUAAACCUCAUCAUUUAGAGGAAGGGAAGUCGUAACAG